GUAACGCUAAAUGCUUUGUUUCCUCUCAACUUAAAAGGGGAAAGUUGAAAAAUGUAGGUUGUUUGGGUUUUUUAUAUAUUUCUUUUCAGUAAGUUAAUUUGGAAAACUGUUACUAGUAUGUCUUUGUAGA
This is a long non-coding RNA of Amblyraja radiata (thorny skate), 130 nucleotides long. RefSeq lists it as uncharacterized. The transcript has 3 exons. The record is from RefSeq and is a predicted model, not a curated record. NCBI's taxonomy places the organism in Eukaryota, Metazoa, Chordata, Chondrichthyes, Rajiformes, Rajidae.